Triticum dicoccoides is the source of this 1110-nucleotide long non-coding RNA. RefSeq lists it as uncharacterized. The transcript has 4 exons. The record is from RefSeq and is a predicted model, not a curated record. NCBI's taxonomy places the organism in Eukaryota, Viridiplantae, Streptophyta, Magnoliopsida, Poales, Poaceae.
GAGCUCCGGCAACACUCCCCAAACUCCGCCCCUCCCUCCCCUCCGUGUUAUUCGGCUAGGGUUUCUGGCGCCUCCCGUGUUCUUGCCCCCCCUCUCUCUCGUGACCUCUGUGCCCCCGCCUCCGGUCUACCUCGCCGCCACUGCCGCCAGAGGUAGCUCCUCCUCCCUUCCUUCCCCUUCCUCCUCCGCCCGCCCUUCUCUCUCCUGCUUCCUCCCGGCGGCCGGUGAUGGGUGCGGACGAGGAGGAGAACCAGUCCCCCGUGCGGAAGCGCGAGCGCGAGGAGGGGGAGGAGCCCGCGGCCGCCGACGAGAAGAGCCCGCGUGCAGCGGAUGAGUCGGAGGGCACCUCGCUGCUGGGGCUCACCAACUACGCGGACGAGAAGGAGGAGGAGCGCGGGGCCCCGAGGGGGCACGCUAACGGCCGGCCCGAGGAGGAGGAGGCGGAAGAGGAUGAGGAUGAGGAGGAGGACGAGAGGAGGGCUCCGGAGAGGCGGCCCAGGCAGGUCGAGCUGCCCCUACCUCGACACCGUCAAUCGACUAGCUUCGAUCUACCAUGUCCUUAGCGGCAGCAACAGAACAGAAUGUCUGAAGAAGCAUCUUCCAGUAGCAGUGCCAAAGGGACUGAACGAACUUCAAAUCAUCGUUGUGCGAUUUGAAGAGAAGAUUUAUACUGCAGCAACCAGUCAGGUAAUUUAAUCCGUCUUGGCGGCUACUCAAAGCAGAUCACAGUUUAUUUUAUUUUUAGUUAUGGGUGUCAAACAAGGUUUUAUGGGCUUAUAAUAGAGCAGAACUGUCCCCAAAUGUUGUAGAGGAUACUUUUUAAGUCAUGUUUAGUACCAUGUAUAACUAUGAUUCAAAUCUUAAAAGCUGAAGCACCUGCUCGAGCAUGCUAAAUUGCUAAUCAACCAGAACUGUUGGUUGCAAGCCACCAUUAGUAAUUUGGUCCUAGGCGGUGGUCAUUGCGACGACACACGUCAGCCAAGAUGAUGUGCUUUACACUUACAACUCGUGCUGACUGAAUCGGAGCAAGCCUCCUACCAGUUCCACCAUGUAACACUCUGCAGGUUGUCGAAAUAAGAUAGUGCUCUGUAGUGCAUUCUGAUUCAGUUG